RNAcentral lists this ribosomal RNA (390 nucleotides) under uncultured bacterium. RNAcentral describes it as "bacterial SSU rRNA". It matches the Rfam family "Bacterial small subunit ribosomal RNA", at positions 29 to 418 of the family's 1533-position model. The record is from RNAcentral.
AUUGAACGCUGGCGGUAUGCCUUACACAUGCAAGUCGAACGGCAGCAUGGGUGCUUGCACCUGAUGGCGAGUGGCGAACGGGUGAGUAAUGCAUCGGAACGUACCCGGAAGUGGGGGAUAACGUAGCGAAAGUUACGCUAAUACCGCAUAUUCUGUGAGCAGGAAAGCGGGGGAUCGCAAGACCUCGCGCUUCCGGAGCGGCCGAUGUCGGAUUAGCUAGUUGGCGGGGUAAAGGCCCACCAAGGCAACGAUCCGUAGCGGGUCUGAGAGGAUGAUCCGCCACACUGGGACUGAGACACGGCCCAGACUCCUACGGGAGGCAGCAGUGGGGAAUUUUGGACAAUGGGCGCAAGCCUGAUCCAGCCAUGCCGCGUGAGUGAAGAAGGCCUC